RNAcentral lists this ribosomal RNA (157 nucleotides) under uncultured bacterium. Its description in RNAcentral is "partial 16S ribosomal RNA". It matches the Rfam family "Bacterial small subunit ribosomal RNA", at positions 338 to 507 of the family's 1533-position model. The record is from RNAcentral.
CCUACGGGAGGCAGCAGUGGGGAAUAUUGCACAAUGGGCGGAAGCCUGAUGCAGCAACGCCGCGUGAGGGAUGACGGCCUUCGGGUUGUAAACCUCUUUUAGCAGGGAAGAAGCGAAAGUGACGGUACCUGCAGAAGAAGCGCCGGCUAACUACGUG